Non-coding RNA from Caenorhabditis elegans, 21 nucleotides. The record is from Ensembl. NCBI's taxonomy places the organism in Eukaryota, Metazoa, Nematoda, Chromadorea, Rhabditida, Rhabditidae.
UAUUCGCGAAUAUAAAAACUU